Molecule: long non-coding RNA, 1652 nt
Organism: Orbicella faveolata
Lineage: Eukaryota; Metazoa; Cnidaria; Anthozoa; Scleractinia; Merulinidae
Source: RefSeq, a predicted model, not a curated record
AUUUGAAAACACCGGCUUUUCGUUUUCGUGUGGACGGAAAACGUUUUGAAAACAGAGCUUCUCGAAAAUGCCGUCAAUAAUCAUGCGAUUUCUCUGACCGAAGUUUCUUCAAACACAAAUCCAAAAUGACCGGUGAUAGUUUUGUUUUCAAAUUUCUCCGACGUAGCGUGGUCGGAAAACGAUUGUUGUGUUUUCAAACCUCCAUAGUGUGGACAGAGCCUUAAAGUCCAAUGCCCCGAUAUAGUUGGCUGUCGAUAAACCUUCGAUCCCAUCGAUAUCCGUACGAUUGCCAUCCGCGAUCAAAGUUCGAAGUUCUCUAUUUUUUCUUCACUUUUAUCCAUCAUUUUUUCCAAAAUUUAGCCUAAUUUUUUUGCAGGUCAAAAGUGAGGUAUGCAAAGCGAUUCGUUGAGGACCUGAGAACAACAGAAUAUUCCCAAAAACUUCUCUAUUUUUAACUUCAUAUCAUCAAUCAUUGUAAUGCUAAAUACGCCGAGGAUCAGUGCAUCAUUAAAAAAUUACAAACUUUACCAAACUGUCAUAGGUGUUUUGGUUAACCUAAUAAUACGCGACCAGUGAUGGUUCGUUUACAUGUACAGUAUGUCAAAGUAAACCAUUUCAAAACACCUGUCGGCUUACGUACUGUGAUCUGUACGUCAAUGAAUUUUAUAGUUUUAAAUUCAGAUAGAAGCUGAAAGUUUCUAAAGUCGAAAAUUGUGAGAAUCCGUUUUCCAGUAUAUUACAACGUAAUGGCCGAACACGGAACACCGCUUCGAUUGUCAACCCUUCUAUUAUUCUUGACUUUCAUGGUGAUCACAGCUAACCAAACCUGCGAACAGAAGUCAUCCGAGAUGCAUUACGCCCUUGCUGGGCAUGCGCACAACUCUAUCGAGCUCAAUGAGUACCCAUCAUGCUUGAACGCCUGCUUGGGCGAUGGAAAAUGCGUCAGUUUCAACUACAACUUCGUAACGCUUCUGUGCGAGCUCAGUAAUAAGACCAAAGGGAUGGAGCCUGCCAGCUUUAUCGAGAAAAAAUACUCUACUUACACAGAAGUUCUGCGAUAGUUAAACCUGGACAGUGAUUUACAAUAUCAAACUUUGGAUAGUGAAAAACAACAACAGCAGCAACUUUAUUCACUCGUACAUUUACAUUUUAUAUAUGUAUAGAAGGGCAGAAAAAAUGUACAGUUUGAGUCUGGAGAUUGAAGUAACCCGAACGUUUUUUAGUCAGUCUGCAGUUACUGUUAUGUUUGUAUAGAUAUUUAAAAGAAUACAGAUCUGUUAAGAGAACAGAUGACCAUAUGCACAUAGUGUAAUAGAACGGAGAAAAUCAAUACAAGUUUUCAGAAUGUUGUUUAGACAUGCAGUAAAUAAAAUUUUAGUUGUUUAGAGAAGUUGAAGGCAUUGAGAUCUUUAAGGUUAGUGCAGAUACUGUCCCAGAGAAUAUUCGCUGUACGAGCUAUUGUUUGUGAAAUAAAGGCACACAAAAAAUAUUAAAUCUGGGACUGCUCUCCGUUACUCUAUAUUUCAUUUAAAAUCAAUUUAAGGUGAUUCCACUUAAAAAGAAGGAAUAUUAAACAUUUUCUCAAACUUCAUCCGUAUGGUAAUCAUGUUAUGUAAUUAGAAAAAAUGCAAUAAAAAUAAGGGGUCACCGUG